GACGAACGCUGGCGGCGCGCUUAACACAUGCAAGUCGAACGGAAAGGCCUGCUUUCCCUUGUGGAUUGCGGGUACUCGAGUGGCGAACGGGUGAGUAACACGUGAGUGAUCUGCCCCCAACUUGGGUAUAAGCCUGGGAAACUGGGUCUAAUUCCCGAUAGGACUGCAGGGUGGUGCCUGUGGUGGAAAACGAUUUUCUAGUGGUUGGGGAUGAGCUCGCGGCCUAUCAGCUUGUUGGUGGGGUAAUGGCCUACCAAGGCGGCGACGGGUAGCUGGCCUGAGAGGGUGGACGGCCACAUUGGGACUGAGAUACGGCCCAGACUCCUACGGGAGGCAGCAGUGGGGAAUAUUGCACAAUGGGCGGAAGCCUGAUGCAGCGACGCCGCGUGGGGGAUGACGGCCUUCGGGUUGUAAACUCCUUUCGACCGCGAGGAAGCCACCUGGUUGGAAGGGUGGUGGCGGUAGUGGUAGAAGAAGCACCGGCUAACUACGUG
This 494-nucleotide ribosomal RNA is filed under the name uncultured bacterium. Its description in RNAcentral is "partial 16S ribosomal RNA". It matches the Rfam family "Bacterial small subunit ribosomal RNA", at positions 28 to 507 of the family's 1533-position model. The record is from RNAcentral.